RNAcentral lists this long non-coding RNA (790 nucleotides) under Brassica napus (rape). RNAcentral's name for it is "long non-coding RNA (BNAP_LNC002151)". The record is from RNAcentral. Lineage: Eukaryota; Viridiplantae; Streptophyta; Magnoliopsida; Brassicales; Brassicaceae.
CGGUUUAUAAUGCAUGUGUAUCUUUGAAAUUAACAGGAUGUCUUUCCCUGUCUGUCUUCACGCCUCUCUUCAGCCUCAUAACAUCUAAAAGGAAGAAUAAUAUUUUAUUAAUCAGUAAUAUUUUUAUUUGCGAUACAACAUUAAUUUUUUUUAUAAAAAUCAAAGAGCAGAAGAAAAAAGAAGAGCGCUCACAUAUCCUAAAUCCGUUGGUAUUCUUAAUAAAUAUAUUGUACAAACAAACUAUUGUUUUGUUAUACUGGCGUUAUCUUUACAUUUUUUUAAUAUUUCAGUAUAUUAAAAUUUGAUAAGUUUUCUUAUGUCAUCAUAGUGUGAUAAUUAAAAUAUUUAUUUGUGUGUAAAUCCAUUAAAAUAAAAAAAAAUUAAGCAUUAGUUUACAACAUCACGUACCAAAAACUGACAGAAUUUGUAUGUUUAAAAAAAAAAAUAUUUUGUAUUGACAGAACCAACAUCAAACUAUAAAAUAUUGUGUAGCAUGUGUCAUGGAUUGUGAAUUUAUGUAUAUACAAACUUGUUUCUUCUAUUGUAUAUACAGUUUGGAGGAUAAAAGAGCAAAUGAACGAAAGAUAACUAACACAACAGUUGCGUGGUCAUGUGAUCAGGUUGUAGGGGAUAUUCAUUAUGCGGUUCAUACGGUAGUUCAUGGUAGUGUCCUUCUUCUCCGCCGUGACUGCCGGUGAGAUCUUCAAUUUGAGAAUUUCAACACUCUGUUCCAUCUUCUUCUACAAUUUCACUACAAUAUCUUGCGUUCUUUUUUCGAUCAAGUGUCUAA